CCAAUAGCGUAUAUUAAAGUUGUUGCAGUUAAAAAGCUCGUAGUUGAACUUCGGGGUCUACCCAUUGGUCAGGCUUAAUUGUCUGCACUGGUGAGAUGGAUCUCUACCUUCUGAGGAACUUUCAUGUCAUUUAUUUGGUGUGAUGGGAAAUCAGGACUGUUACUUUGAAAAAAUUAGAGUGUUUAAAGCAGACUAUCGUCUGAAUACAUUAGCAUGGAAUAAUGAAAUAGGACGGACUGAUUCUAUUUCGUUGGUUUCUAGGAUCACCGUAAUGAUUAAUAGGGAUAGUUGGGGGCAUUAGUAUUCAAUUGUCAGAGGUGAAAUUCUUGGAUUUAUUGAAGACUAACUACUGCGAAAGCAUUUGCCAAGGAUGUUUUCAUUAAUCAAGAACGAAAGUUAGGGGAUCGAAGACGAUCAGAUACCGUCGUAGUCUUAACCAUAAACUAUGCCGACUAGGGAUCGGAUGAUGUUAAUUUUUUAAUGACUCAUUCGGCGCCUUACG
Molecule: ribosomal RNA, 502 nt
Filed under: uncultured Glomeromycotina
Lineage: Eukaryota; Fungi; Glomeromycota
Description: partial small subunit ribosomal RNA
Rfam family: Eukaryotic small subunit ribosomal RNA
Source: RNAcentral